RNAcentral lists this unclassified non-coding RNA (965 nucleotides) under Hevea brasiliensis (rubber tree). Lineage: Eukaryota; Viridiplantae; Streptophyta; Magnoliopsida; Malpighiales; Euphorbiaceae. The record is from RNAcentral.
GUCCAAACAAAAUUUCAGCUUCAUCUCACGAUUUCAUAUCAUAAUUUUAAACACAUCCUAUAUGAUACCAUCUGGGACAAUAAUUAACUAACUAUACAAUAGUGUACAAGUAGUUUUACUUUUAUUAAGAUCAAUAAACCAGUCCCAUGGAAGGGAGAUUGCAUCAGUAUUGACCUCAGAUAUUAUAGAAAGGUAUCAACUGCCUAGUUUGAAAGCAUCAACAAAGAGACCUAGAAUAACACCUGCUUUCCAGUAGUUCACCAUUGAAAUCAGAGACUGCAAUCUCCUGGAUGGAAGAGAAGGAGGUUUUUUAUACAUCAGCAUUCCGAUUCCCUCAAUUGCAGCGACAACGACACCUGCUACUAAUACAUCCCAAUCACCAGUCUGUCCUAGAAUUGUAGCCAAGGCAUUUGCCGUAUAAAAACCUAAGAGAAGCAGAAAUACUUUCAUAGGAAAAUUUUUCCGAGCUGAAUUAAGCUUCCCCAAGAACUGCCUGCCACCAGCACCAACUAUCCUCCCCAAACGAGUUCCACCUAGAUCACGACCAUCACCAUUGAGGCCAUCUUGAUCGUCACUACUGGGAAUGCUUCCUGUAUCCAGAGCAAAUGCUAUUCUUGAACCACGUCUUCUUGUCCAGGACCUAAUAGUAGGAGAUGUCAUACAGUUUACACCAAACUUUGAAAUUUGUUCAGUAACUUCUAGUCUGUUGGAGAAAUCCAGGAUAGAUGAACUUCUUGAAAUUACAAACAAUUGUCCAAAGCUUUCAUUCUCGGCUGCUGGCAAAGACUGCAACAUGAUUGCCUUCAUUCUAUAAGCCAUGAACUUAAGAAAUCCACUACAAUAACUGUUGCCUUUUACCAAUGCAUUUAGAGAGAGAUAAACUCUAUUUGCUUCAGCCCUUUUCUAGGAAAAGCUUGUGGUUUAUGAAUAUGGCGGAGAAUGAUUGCAGAGCCACACAGAAAGAG